Molecule: ribosomal RNA, 253 nt
Filed under: uncultured bacterium
Lineage: Bacteria
Description: partial 16S ribosomal RNA
Rfam family: Bacterial small subunit ribosomal RNA
Source: RNAcentral
UACAGAGGUGGCAAGCGUUGUUCGGAAUUACUGGGCGUAAAGGGCGCGUAGGCGGCUUGUUGCGUCAGCUGUGAAAACCCGCAGCUCAACUGUGGGCUUGCAGCUGAUACGGGCAGGCUUGAGUUCGGUAGGGGAGACUGGAAUUCCUGGUGUAGCGGUGAAAUGCGCAGAUAUCAGGAGGAACACCGGUGGCGAAGGCGGCCUUCUGGGCCGAUCUUGACGCUGAGACGCGAAAGCGUGGGGAGCAAACAGG